This 75-nucleotide transfer RNA is filed under the name Chloroflexota bacterium. RNAcentral describes it as "Chloroflexi bacterium tRNA-His". It matches the Rfam family "tRNA". From Rfam's summary of the family: Transfer RNA (tRNA) molecules are approximately 80 nucleotides in length. Their secondary structure includes four short double-helical elements and three loops (D, anti-codon, and T loops). Further hydrogen bonds mediate the characteristic L-shaped molecular structure. tRNAs have two regions of fundamental functional importance: the anti-codon, which is responsible for specific mRNA codon recognition, and the 3' end, to which the tRNAs corresponding amino acid is attached (by aminoacyl-tRNA synthetases). tRNAs cope with the degeneracy of the genetic code in two manners: having more than one tRNA (with a specific anti-codon) for a particular amino acid; and 'wobble' base-pairing, i.e. permitting non-standard base-pairing at the 3rd anti-codon position. The record is from RNAcentral. Lineage: Bacteria; Bacillati; Chloroflexota.
GUGGUUGUAGCUCAAUGGCAGAGCACCUGAUUGUGGUUCAGGCGGUUGUGGGUUCAAGUCCCAUCAGCCACCCCU